This 440-nucleotide ribosomal RNA is filed under the name uncultured bacterium. Its description in RNAcentral is "partial 16S ribosomal RNA". It matches the Rfam family "Bacterial small subunit ribosomal RNA", at positions 338 to 795 of the family's 1533-position model. The record is from RNAcentral.
CCUACGGGAGGCAGCAGUAGGGAAUAUUGCUCAAUGGGGGAAACCCUGAAGCAGCAACGCCGCGUGGAGGAUGAAGGUUUUAGGAUUGUAAACUCCUUUUUUUAGAGAAGAUAAUGACGGUAUCUAACGAAUAAGCACCGGCUAACUCCAUGCCAGCAGCCGCGGUAAUACGGAGGGUGCAAGCGUUACUCGGAAUCACUGGGCGUAAAGAGCGCGUAGGCGGGAUAGCAAGUCAGAUGUGAAAUCCUAGGGCUUAACCAUAGAACUGCAGUUGAAACUGUUGUUCUAGAGUAUGGGAGAGGUACGUGGAAUGCGUGGUGUAGGGGUAAAAUCCGUAGAGAUCAAGAGGAAUACUCAUUGCGAAGGCGACCUGCUAGAACAUAACUGACGCUGAUGCGCGAAAGCGUGGGGAUCAAACAGGAUUAGAUACCCUUGUAGUC